RNAcentral lists this long non-coding RNA (279 nucleotides) under Trifolium pratense (red clover). RNAcentral describes it as "long non-coding RNA (TPRA_LNC001997)". The record is from RNAcentral. Lineage: Eukaryota; Viridiplantae; Streptophyta; Magnoliopsida; Fabales; Fabaceae.
AAAGAGAAAGGACGACAAUAGUGAGAGUGGAGAGAAGCUUCAAUUCGUUCCCCUUAUAGCUUCGAUUUGGAGCUAGGGUUCAAGAGAGAAGCUUCGAUUUGACGAGUUCGAGAGAACGAGUGAGAGAGAGGAAGGCUGAGAGUGAGAGAGAGAGAGAGGACGGCUGAGAGAAGCGGGUGGUGGUGAGUUGAUUUUAGGUUGCUGGCGUGAGAGGAAUCAAUCGAGUUUGGUGUGAGAGGAAGGCUGAGGGUUUGUUCGCGUGAAUGUUUGGGUAUCGAG